RNAcentral lists this ribosomal RNA (450 nucleotides) under fungal sp. Its description in RNAcentral is "SSU rRNA". It matches the Rfam family "Eukaryotic small subunit ribosomal RNA", at positions 634 to 1077 of the family's 1831-position model. The record is from RNAcentral. Lineage: Eukaryota; Fungi.
GUUUACGGGUUAACCGUACGGUCGGUCCGUACUUAGGUUUUUCGGUUUACCCUUACCUUUCGUAAGAAAACGUAACCGUACGUAGUUCGUACUAAUUAAUAGUGGUGUUCGGUAGGAUCGAGUGUUACUUUGAAAAAAUUAGAGUGUUUAAAGCAAGCUCACGCUUGAAUACAUUAGCAUGGAAUAAUGAAAUAGGACGUUUGAUUCUAUUUUGUUGGUUUCUAGGAUCGACGUAAUGAUUAAUAGGGAUAGUUGGGGGCAUUAGUAUUCAAUUGUCAGAGGUGAAAUUCUUGGAUUUAUUGAAGACUAACUACUGCGAAAGCAUUUGCCAAGGAUGUUUUCAUUAAUCAAGAACGAAAGUUAGGGGAUCGAAGACGAUCAGAUACCGUCGUAGUCUUAACCAUAAACUAUGCCGACUAGGGAUCGGAUGAUGUUAAUUUUUAAUGACUC